GACGAACGCUGGCGGCGUGCCUAAUACAUGCAAGUAGAACGCUGAAGGAGGAGCUUGCUCUUCUGGAUGAGUUGCGAACGGGUGAGUAACGCGUAGGUAACCUGCCUGGUAGCGGGGGAUAACUAUUGGAAACGAUAGCUAAUACCGCAUAACAGUAGAUGCUGCAUGACAUUUGCUUAAAAGGUGCAAUUGCAUCACUACCAGAUGGACCUGCGUUGUAUUAGCUAGUUGGUGGGGUAACGGCUCACCAAGGCGACGAUACAUAGCCGACCUGAGAGGGUGAUCGGCCACACUGGGACUGAGACACGGCCCAGACUCCUACGGGAGGCAGCAGUAGGGAAUCUUCGGCAAUGGACGGAAGUCUGACCGAGCAACGCCGCGUGAGUGAAGAAGGGUUUCGGAUCGUAAAGCUCUGUUGUAAGAGAAGAACGAGUGUGAGAGUGGAAAGUUCACACUGUGACGGUAUCUUACCAGAAAGGGACGGCUAACUACGUG
This 495-nucleotide ribosomal RNA is filed under the name uncultured bacterium. RNAcentral's name for it is "partial 16S ribosomal RNA". It matches the Rfam family "Bacterial small subunit ribosomal RNA", at positions 28 to 507 of the family's 1533-position model. The record is from RNAcentral.